UACGAAGGGGGCUAGCGUUGCUCGGAAUCACUGGGCGUAAAGGGUGCGUAGGCGGGGCUUUAAGGCAGGGGGGAAAUCCUGGAGCUCAACUCCAGAACUGCCUUUGAUACUGAAGAUCUUGAGUUCGGGAGAGGUGAGUGGAACUGCGAGUGUAGAGGUGAAAUUCGUAGAUAUUCGCAAGAACACCAGUGGCGAAGGCGGCUCACUGGCCCGAUACUGACGCUGAUGCACGAAAGCGUGGGGAGCAAACAGG
RNAcentral lists this ribosomal RNA (253 nucleotides) under uncultured bacterium. RNAcentral's name for it is "partial 16S ribosomal RNA". It matches the Rfam family "Bacterial small subunit ribosomal RNA", at positions 524 to 776 of the family's 1533-position model. The record is from RNAcentral.